Phyllostomus discolor (pale spear-nosed bat) is the source of this 103-nucleotide long non-coding RNA. RefSeq lists it as uncharacterized. The record is from RefSeq and is a predicted model, not a curated record. NCBI's taxonomy places the organism in Eukaryota, Metazoa, Chordata, Mammalia, Chiroptera, Phyllostomidae. The transcript is spliced from 3 exons.
UUCAAUUAACUGAAGAUCCUGACGGCGACAUAGCUGAUGGUGUGGCAGCCUGAAUCACAGAUGUCUACUUCUUUUCCUGAGAUACGAAAUGGCUCUUAUUAAA